CUUUGCAGCGUUGGUCUCCGCAGCAAGAAUCUUUUCAAUUUGAUCUUGACUUUCUUGUGAUCGGUGCUUUCAGCGCUGUUGACUGAGGAAUUUCUGGGAGGCCCUGAAGUAAAGAGAAAGAGAGUUAAUCCUGACAUUGCUUCCAGUAUACUGGGAGCCAGGCAGCUCAAGGAUUCAGUGUUUUGACUGCCGUUUCCAUGGGAUGUGGGAAGGGCUUCACAGCAAAUUAAGUACUUGCAAAAUACUGUUCCUGUUGCAAUUGGGGAAAAAUGCCUGUCAAAACUAUGCACAGCACAAUCCCACAAACAGCAUGGAGGACUCUGUUUCGGAAUAAUUUGCAGAAGAAUUACAAGUGGAACAGAUCACCAGGGAACGUGAAAUGAGGCCAGGACACUGGAGCAGCUCCUGGACGUUGUAUUGGAAAGAUGGAAGUGUUGACAUUGAGGGAGGCUGAGAUCAAAAGGAGAUCCAGCUACAUCAGCAUCAACUUCAUCUGUGCUGACAGUAUCCACCUUAAGUGGAGAAGCAAAAGAGAAUACAUUGAAUCAAUGCCAUUACACACAGAUUUCACCUGACAAAGCAGCAGCGCUCCAAAAGCUUGUGAUUUCAAAUAAACAUGUUGGACUAUGA
Long non-coding RNA from Rhincodon typus (whale shark), 630 nucleotides. RefSeq lists it as uncharacterized. The record is from RefSeq and is a predicted model, not a curated record. NCBI's taxonomy places the organism in Eukaryota, Metazoa, Chordata, Chondrichthyes, Orectolobiformes, Rhincodontidae. The transcript is spliced from 4 exons.